AACGAACGCUGGCGGCAUGCCUAACACAUGCAAGUCGAACGAGACCUUCGGGUCUAGUGGCGCACGGGUGCGUAACGCGUGGGAAUUUGCCCUUGGGUUCGGAAUACCAGUUGGACACGACUGCUAAUACCGGAUGAUGUCUUCGGACCAAAGAUUUAUCGCCCAGGGAUGAGCCCGCGUAGGAUUAGCUUGUUGGUGAGGUAAAGGCUCACCAAGGCGACGAUCCUUAGCUGGUCUGAGAGGAUGAUCAGCCACACUGGGACUGAGACACGGCCCAGACUCCUACGGGAGGCAGCAGUGGGGAAUAUUGGACAAUGGGUGAAAGCCUGAUCCAGCAAUGCCGCGUGAGUGAUGAAGGCCUUAGGGUUGUAAAGCUCUUUUACCCGGGAUGAUAAUGACAGUACCGGGAGAAUAAGCCCCGGCUAACUCCGUGCCAGCAGCCGCGGUAA
RNAcentral lists this ribosomal RNA (449 nucleotides) under uncultured bacterium. RNAcentral's name for it is "partial 16S ribosomal RNA". It matches the Rfam family "Bacterial small subunit ribosomal RNA", at positions 29 to 523 of the family's 1533-position model. The record is from RNAcentral.